GACGAACGCUGGCGGCGCGCCUAACACAUGCAAGUCGAACGAGCGAGCGAGAGCUUGCUUUCUCAAGCGAGUGGCGAACGGGUGAGUAACGCGUGAGGAACCUGCCUCAAAGAGGGGGACAACAGUUGGAAACGACUGCUAAUACCGCAUAAGCCCACAGGUCGGCAUCGACCAGAGGGAAAAGGAGCAAUCCGCUUUGAGAUGGCCUCGCGUCCGAAUAGCUAGUUGGUGAGGUAACGGCCCACCAAGGCAACGAUCGGUAGCCGGACUGAGAGGUUGAACGGCCACAUUGGGACUGAGACACGGCCCAGACUCCUACGGGAGGCAGCAGUGGGGAAUAUUGCACAAUGGGGGAAACCCUGAUGCAGCGACGCCGCGUAGAGGAAGAAGGUCUUCGGAUUGUAAACUCCUGUUGUUGAGGAAGAUAAUGACGGUACUCAACAAGGAAGUGACGGCUAACUACGUG
This 466-nucleotide ribosomal RNA is filed under the name uncultured bacterium. RNAcentral describes it as "partial 16S ribosomal RNA". It matches the Rfam family "Bacterial small subunit ribosomal RNA", at positions 28 to 507 of the family's 1533-position model. The record is from RNAcentral.